Molecule: unclassified non-coding RNA, 276 nt
Filed under: Hevea brasiliensis (rubber tree)
Lineage: Eukaryota; Viridiplantae; Streptophyta; Magnoliopsida; Malpighiales; Euphorbiaceae
Source: RNAcentral
GUUUGCAAACUUUGGCUGCCUUUUUGAAGAAAACAAUAGGGAAAUAUGUCAUUAGAGAUGCUUCUCUUAAUUCAAAGUUGUUCGCUCUUGCACAGGGUUGGGGAGGAAAAGAAGAAGGCCUUGGGUUAAUUGCUUGUGCUCUGCAGGACAGCUCUGAUACAAGUGCUAAUGAGUUAGGCCGCACCUUACAUUUUGAAUUCUAUGCUACUGAAUCUUCAGAUGAGUCCAAUGCUCCCAUUGGUUUACAAAUCAUCCAUUUGCCUGACAUUGACAACA